GUGCAUUGUCCCGCCCACCACAUCCAUCUCAGACCUCUGAGCAGCUAACUGAAUGAAGGAGACGAAGAUUCAUGGAAAACAGAAUAUUUGGUUAGAGGCGGCGCCAUUUUGUGCUGUUGUGCUCCCUCUUCUGAAAUCGGGCCUCUUGUCACUUUAAAUCCAGAGAAGCUUCUGCUGGCCACGCUCCCAAAAGUCAACGUUUACACUCGCUCGUGAAAAUGGCUGGCAAUAGAAAUGCAAAUAUACAACCAUACAUCUUUGAAAAGCAGAAGUGGGCCCUCCUGCACAGUCAAAAUGUUGACAGCAAAUGGUUUCUGGAUGAGACUCUGCAAGACCAAUCAGGACCCUUGCCCUCACAGCUAGCAGAGAAAAGCUGGGAAAGGAGAGGAAAGCAGAGAGGAGGAGGUUUAUGAGGAUUGACCAGCACUUAAUAAAUGAGAACAUCAUCCAAACGAUGUGAGAUAAAAGACCUUCAUGGUGCAUAAAAGUCUAUCCAGAGGCUGGCAGCCGAGGAGAAUCCUGGGAAAGGUCAGAGAUCUUGGCGUUGUCGUCCCCACGGCGGGGGUUUGGAGUAUGGGGAGGGACAAUAACUCCUUGAGGUUGGCGGUUUGUGAGUGGGUGGGAGAAAAGCCCGAGGAGCUGGAUGGACUCUUCAGAAAGAUGAUGGAGAACAGAAAACCAGUGUAAUCCUGACAUUACAUCGAUGCCUUCAGCUGUCGUUGAGUGACGAUAAUCCUUGCGUGACAGCAACCUACCAAAGUUCAUCUUUCAACGCCGUCUGCUCCUCAAAAAUCUCACAAAUCACACCUUCACACACAACCACGGCGCAGGAAGACAGAUUGUGGGAGAACUGGAGCCUGAGCACCCAGGGGGCCCUUUGACGGCGACGGCUUUUCAUCGGCUGGCGGUGGAGUCAGUUUAUGGAGGAGCGGCACGGGAUAACUAGGACAGCUAAAGAGGAGCGGCCCGGACAGGCAGGAAUAAUUAGGCGUCUGCUGCUCAGGAGAUACGGCAGCGGCGCGCCUGUCAAAAGGUCAGCGAAGGACAUGUUGGCGUACGGCUGGAAAAAGGAAUGGGCUUUCAGAGAGGAGGCGGCGGAGGAAGGAAAGUGUUAACAGGAAGAUGAGGGACGGAAAGGAGAAAAUAAACAAGAAUAUGGU
Long non-coding RNA from Poecilia latipinna (sailfin molly), 1160 nucleotides. RefSeq lists it as uncharacterized. NCBI's taxonomy places the organism in Eukaryota, Metazoa, Chordata, Actinopteri, Cyprinodontiformes, Poeciliidae. The transcript has 8 exons. The record is from RefSeq and is a predicted model, not a curated record.